AUUUAGAUAGCUUAAACAAAGCAUCGGUCUUGUAAACCGAAGAUUGAGAAUUAAUUUUCUCUCUAAAUG
This 69-nucleotide transfer RNA is filed under the name Hynobius kimurae (Hida salamander). RNAcentral describes it as "tRNA-Thr". It matches the Rfam family "tRNA". From Rfam's summary of the family: Transfer RNA (tRNA) molecules are approximately 80 nucleotides in length. Their secondary structure includes four short double-helical elements and three loops (D, anti-codon, and T loops). Lineage: Eukaryota; Metazoa; Chordata; Amphibia; Caudata; Hynobiidae. The record is from RNAcentral.